AACACGGAGGGGAGGUCGCGGCUGAGGUCGCUAUAUAAUUAAUACACUCCACUCCCUGCUCCAGGCUGGAGGCUUGCAGAAGCUGGGGAAAGGACGCGCCCGGGGGCCGGGGGAAGAGCCUCACAACUUGUGCCGGGCUGCUGCUGGUGGUGGUGCCGCCGGGGCAUACGGGGCCAAGACCCUCUGUCCCUCUCCCUCCCCCUUUCCGAGGGAUCCAGCUUCACCCGGGUUGCUGCUUGUCGCGGCCCCGAGGGUGAAGAAAUAGGGAGACCGGAGCGUUAAGACUUGGCGCUCCUCCUUGGGAGCCAGUGCUGGGGCUUGCACCCGGGAAGUUUUUCCUCCACCGCUAACUUUGGUCUCUGGAGGAGAGAGUCCAGGCAGGUGUGUGAGCGCUGCUGGCCAGUCGGGCUUUCUGGGGGAGGCACAACUGAUUAUCAAGAUGAGGAACUGAGACUCAAAGUAUGGUACAAAAGAAAAAGCUCUGACUGUGGAGUCAAAGGACCUUGAUUCAAAUUCAGCCUCUAACGCUGCCUUCGUAUCCUUGGAUUAAUUUUGCAGUUUCUCGAUUAAAGACCUAUUCUGAAGCCCCAUUGUGGUGUGGAGGUGACCUUGGGUUCUAGCAAAUGCCAACAGAGCACAAGUUCUGUAGGUAGGUGAAGCAACAGCUGAAGCACUGGGCCUGGAAUCAGGAAGACCUGAGUUCAAAUGGGGCCUCAGACACUUUCUAGCUGUGUGACCCUGGGCAAGUCACUUAACCUGUUUGCCUCCGUUUCCUC
Molecule: long non-coding RNA, 776 nt
Organism: Dromiciops gliroides (monito del monte)
Lineage: Eukaryota; Metazoa; Chordata; Mammalia; Microbiotheria; Microbiotheriidae
Exons: 4
Source: RefSeq, a predicted model, not a curated record